GAUGAAGAACGCAGCGAAAUGCGAUAAGUAGUGUGAAUUGCAGAAUUCAGUGAAUCAUCGAAUCUUUGAACGCACAUUGCGCCCCUUGGUAUCCCGAGGGGCAUGCCUGUUCGAGCGUCAUUUCCCCACUCAAGCCUGGCUUGGUGUUGGGCGACGUCCUCUUUGGGGACGCGCCUCGAAACGCUCGGCGGCGUGGCACCGGCUUUAAGCGUAGCAGAAUCUUUCGCUUUGGAAGUCGGGGCCCCGUCUGCCGGAAGACCUGCUCGCAAGGUUGACCUCGGAUCAGGCAGGGAUACCCGCUGAACUUAAGCAUAUCAAUAAGCGGAGGA
Molecule: unclassified non-coding RNA, 329 nt
Filed under: soil metagenome
Description: partial contains 5.8S ribosomal RNA, internal transcribed spacer 2, and large subunit ribosomal RNA
Rfam family: 5.8S ribosomal RNA (bases 1-120)
Source: RNAcentral